CCCUUAGAUGUUCUGGGCUGCACGCGUGUUACAAUCGGGAGUACAACAAGAUUGCAAAUCCUAGUGGAUGAGUGGUUCUUCGAAAUUUUCUGAAGACUGGGAUAGUUGAUUGAAAUUAUUCAACUCGAACGAGGAAUUCCUUGUAUUUGUAAUUCAUUAUAUUGUAAUGAAUACGUCCCUGCCCUUUGUACACACCGCCCGUCGCUCCUACCGAUUGAACGAUCCGGUGAAUUAUUUGGAGUAGCUCUGGAAGUUGCAGAACUUCCUAUGUCACGAAAUUUUGUAAACCUUAUCGUUUAGAGGAAGGAAAAGUCGUAACA
Molecule: ribosomal RNA, 320 nt
Filed under: uncultured eukaryote
Lineage: Eukaryota
Description: partial 18S ribosomal RNA
Rfam family: Eukaryotic small subunit ribosomal RNA
Source: RNAcentral